CAAACGGGCUCAGCUGCUGUGCUUUCCCCUCCCUCGUGACUGUUCCAUUCUCCUCUCUCUCCUCCAAUAUAGACUCCGUCGGCAGAAAGGAUUUGAUUCUCUCACCAAAAAAUUGGAAAUAUCAGAAGACAUGUCUUUGAAUGAGCUACCAGAAGGGUGCAUAGCUAAUGCACUGUCGUUUACAACUCCUCAGGACGUUGGCCGGCUCUCGGCUGUCUCUCCCAUGUUCAUGUCGGCCUCCGUAUCCGAUGUUGUUUGGGAGAGGUUCCUUCCUAGGGAUCUUGAAUCUAUUCUAUCCACCUCCCAUGAUGGUUCUCGCCUGUUGGCAUCUGCGGCUUCCAGAAAGGAACUGUAUUUUAGCCUCUGUGAGAAUCCAGUGCUUGUUGAUAAUGGGAGAAAGAGCUUUUCAUUGGAAAAAAAGAGUGGGAAGAAAUGUUACAGGCUUUCUGCAAGGGACCUCUUGAUUACAUGGGGUGAUACUCCUGAGUAUUGGAAGUGGAAUUCUGACCCCACAUCUAGAUUUCCAGAAGUAGCUGAGCUUAUUUCGGUGUGCUGGCUUGAAAUUCGCGGCAAAAUCAAUACUAGCAUGCUAUCACCCGCAACGUUGUACACAGCAUACCUUGUGUUAAAGCUUUCCAUAGACACUUACUAUUAUGGAUUGGAUGACCAGCCAGUUGCGGUUGCAAUGAAACUGGAUGGAGAAGAAAGUUAUACACGGACUGUUAGCUGGAGUGCAGAAAGAAGGUGGGGGCAGGUAUCCCGUAAUGCAAGACGGCCGUUUUCUUUAUUUAGCUUUAGUCGCAGAAGAUCUGUAUCUACUGGAGAAAGUGAUGGACAUUAUCCACAGGAAAGAGGAGAUGGGUGGUUGGAGAUUGAAUUAGGUGAGUUCUUUACCAAGGAAGGGAAAGAUGGAGAGCUGGAAAUUAGAGUUUUUGAUGGCACUAGUCAUUGGAAACGUGGGCUGAUUGUUGAAGGGAUCGAGAUUAGACCAAAACAGGGUAACUAGAUGAGCAACUGUUUUCAUAUUCUAGAAAUCAUGUCUACCUUUUCACAUCUGUAGUGGGUAGAUUAAGGUUGGUAUCUUGAUUGCAUCACUAUCAAGAGCCUUUGCAGCUGGUCCAGUGCGUAGGAGGAUGCAGAUAGGAUUUCAGUGCAAGAGGAGCUAGUCCAAGCAGUUAAAGAUGCACAGGAAAGGUGCAAGAGGAGCUAGUCCAAGCAGUUAAAGAUAUCUGGACUUCUUCAUCUGAAGUGGCAUGUUUGACUAGAUGCCGGCAAAGUUUCCAACCAUACUGUUGAUGCUGAAACUAGAACCACAAAGGGAGCAAAAUUAUAUUGUUGAAACAAUGGUAUCUGUUGUCUGUAUUCAAAACUAUCCAGUGUGUAUGUAGUUUAAAUCCAAAGGUACUAAAUCAAAUGGGGCAUUGCUUUGCUGGGAUCUUUGUAGUCGAGCUGAGGUUUCAAACACAAUUUUUUUUCACAGAAUUCAAAUAAAAAGAAGUUACUAUAAACUUAUACUA
RNA transcript from Populus nigra (black poplar), 1517 nucleotides. It is a transcript of the gene named F-box protein PP2-B11-like, with no coding region annotated. The transcript is spliced from 4 exons. Lineage: Eukaryota; Viridiplantae; Streptophyta; Magnoliopsida; Malpighiales; Salicaceae. The record is from RefSeq and is a predicted model, not a curated record.